GAAAGAUGGUUUCGGCUAUCGCUUACAGAUGGGCCCGCGGUGCAUUAGCUAGUUGGUAGGGUAAUGGCCUACCAAGGCAACGAUGCAUAGCCGACCUGAGAGGGUGAUCGGCCACACUGGGACUGAGACACGGCCCAGACUCCUACGGGAGGCAGCAGUAGGGAAUCUUCCGCAAUGGACGAAAGUCUGACGGAGCAACGCCGCGUGUAUGAAGAAGGUUUUCGGAUCGUAAAGUACUGUUGUUAGAGAAGAACAAGGAUAAGAGUAACUGCUUGUCCCUUGACGGUAUCUAACCAGAAAGCCACGGCUAACUACGUGCCAGCAGCCGCGGUAAUACGUAGGUGGCAAGCGUUGUCCGGAUUUAUUG
Molecule: ribosomal RNA, 367 nt
Filed under: Listeria monocytogenes
Lineage: Bacteria; Bacillati; Bacillota; Bacilli; Caryophanales; Listeriaceae
Description: bacterial SSU rRNA
Rfam family: Bacterial small subunit ribosomal RNA
Source: RNAcentral